ACGCUGGCGGUGAGCGUUAAGCAUGCAAGUCGAACGGCAAGAGAGGAGCUUGCUUCUCUCCUAGAGUGACGGACUGGUGAGGAACACGUGGGUAAUCUACCCUUAAGAUGGGGAUAGCUGCUAGAAAUAGCAGAUAAUACCGAAUACACUCGGCGCUUCAUAAGAAGUGUUGAGGAAAGGAAGCUACGGCUUCGCUUGAGGAUGAGCUUGCGUCCCAUUAGCUAGUUGGUGAGGUAAAGGCCCACCAAGGCGACGAUGGGUAUCCAGCCUGAGAGGGUGAACGGACACAUUGGGACUGAGAUACGGCCCAAACUCCUACGGGAGGCAGCAGCUAAGAAUAUUCCGCAAUGGACGAAAGUCUGACGGAGCGACGCCGCGUGGAUGAAGAAGGCUGAAAAGUUGUAAAAUCCUUUUGUUGAUGAAGAAUAAGGGGAAGAGGGAAUGCUUCUCUGAUGACGGUAAUCAGCGAAUAAGCCCCGGCUAAUUACGUGCCAGCAGCCGCGGUAACACGUAAGGGGCGAGCGUUGUUCGGAAUUAUUGGGCGUAAAGGGCAUGUAGGCGGUUAUGUAAGCCUGAUGUGAAAUCCUGGGGCUUAACCCUAGAAUAGCAUUGGGUACUGUAUAACUUGAAUUACGGAAGGGAAACUGGAAUUCCAAGUGUAGGGGUGGAAUCUGUAGAUAUUUGGAAGAACACCGGUGGCGAAGGCGGGUUUCUGGCCGAUAAUUGACGCUGAGAUGCGAAAGUGUGGGGAUCGAACAGGAUUAGAUACCCUGGUAGUCCACACCGUAAACGAUGUACACUAGGUGUUGGGGCAAGAGCUUCAGUGCCAAAGCAAACGCGAUAAGUGUACCGCCUGGGGAGUAUGCCCGCAAGGGUGAAACUCAAAGGAAUUGACGGGGGC
RNAcentral lists this ribosomal RNA (901 nucleotides) under uncultured bacterium. RNAcentral's name for it is "bacterial SSU rRNA". It matches the Rfam family "Bacterial small subunit ribosomal RNA", at positions 33 to 920 of the family's 1533-position model. The record is from RNAcentral.